RNAcentral lists this unclassified non-coding RNA (1259 nucleotides) under Hevea brasiliensis (rubber tree). Lineage: Eukaryota; Viridiplantae; Streptophyta; Magnoliopsida; Malpighiales; Euphorbiaceae. The record is from RNAcentral.
UAAAAUUGUAAUUUAAAUUAUUCCAAGUAAUUUCAUAAUCUUUGAUAUCACUUGUCCCGAACUUUAAUCAGAAUGCAAAUAGUAGCUGAGAAAAAUGUAUAUCGAUUACAUUCUAAGGAACUUGUCAAACCAAUUGCUAGCUUCCUUUACCAUCAAUGGAGUCAUUUGAUGCUCAAUACCAGCUUGAACUGUCAGCUUGAAAUUAAGUGGACAGUCAGCAUCUGCACAAACUUCCUGGGCUGUUGACGUUGGAAUAUCCAGGCCAGCAAUUGGACAACGCGGAUCUUCCUCUCCAUUUAAAAUCAGCAAAGGUCGUGGGGCAAUGACUGGGACGGUGUAUGGUGAAUCAAAUUGAGAAGCCAAACCUGGAGCAAUUCUGUCCCAGACCUUCUCAACCACUUCUUUGUCAAUUUCAUUCUUGCCUAAAUCGGAACGUGCUUCUUCAAACACAUCUUUGAUACUGUCAACUCUUGCCUGCCAUCGAUCAUGCUCAAUAGCCCACCGAAAUCCCUGAACUCCGAUUAUAGGAACAACCACUGAAAAACGAGUGUCGGCAAAUGCAGCAAACCAUGCAUGCAUACCUCCAAGUGAUUCACCAGUAAUUCCUAUCCUUGACGAGUCAAUAUCUUCCCUCUCUGUUAGAUAAUCCGCUAGUUUUAUCAAGUCCCACACCGUAUCAUAUAUGAACGGCAUUGUAUCACCUUUUUUCCAUGACGAUAUAAGGGCAUCACGAUAUGUUGUCGUAUUGGUGGCACGUUCUCCAUGGUAUCGAGAAUCAAUUGCUACAGCUAUGUAUCCCCUUGAAGCAUAUGCCUGAAGCAAUGGCCGUAACCACUCUUUACAUUUGUUUGUACUAUGCAGGAAGACAAUAGCUGGCCUCUUUUUCUUAGUGGCUUCCUUCAUGCUCAAUACCAAGACAGGCAACCGUCCUUGCUCUCCUUCCUCUGUGGUCAAGUAGAAAUUUUGCUCCUGAAUAAGUUCCUUCAUAUUGGGAAUAUCUUCUUUAGGGCAAGAUGACAUUACCUCACUGAAUAUUGGCUUUGGAAAUUCCUGAUGUAAUGGAUCAUUCACAGGUUUCCCAGGUAUCACACAGAGUGGAACUUGUGGUGUACGACGGGUGUGAAGGAGGUGAAGAAACUGAGAGCGGAGUUUGUCGGCAUCAAUUGCCAUUAUUUUGUUCAUAAUUUUUGAAACUCUGCCGUAUGGCUGGGCAAACUGCAUCUGCAAUAUGGAUCCCACGCCUCUCACCAACAUUGCUG